Molecule: long non-coding RNA, 4957 nt
Filed under: Homo sapiens (human)
Lineage: Eukaryota; Metazoa; Chordata; Mammalia; Primates; Hominidae
Description: HSALNT0282913
Rfam family: Y RNA (bases 1597-1698)
Source: RNAcentral
AAAGGACUCCCUAUUCAAUAAAUGGUUCUGGGAUAAAUGGAUUGCCAUGUGCAGAAGAAUGAAACUGGAUCCCUAUCUUUCACCAUACGCAGAAAUCAACUCAAGGUGGAUUAAAGAUUUAAAGGUAAGACUGGAAACUAUUAAAAUACUAGAAAAAACCUAGGAAAACACUCUUCCGGACAUUAGCCUUGGCAAAGUAUUUAUGACUGAGACCUCUAAAUCAUAGGAACAAAAACAAAAGUAGGCAAAUGGGAGUUAAUUAAACUAAAAGCUUCUGCACAGCAAAAUAAAUCAUCAACAGAAUGAAUGGACAAUCUGAUGUAUGAGAGAAAAUAUAUGCAAAUUAUGCAACUGACAAAGGACUAACAUUCAGAAUCUAUGAGGAACUCAAACAUUUCAAUAAGAAAACAAUAAAUACCCCAUUAAAUAGUGGGCAAAAGACAUGAGUAGAUAUUUUCCAAAAGAAGACAUAGAAAUUACCAAUAAGCAUAGGAAAAAAUGCUCAACAUCACUAAUCAUCAGGGAAAUGCAAAUUAAAACCACAAUGAGAUAUCAUCUCACACCAGUCAGAAUAAUGGCUAUUAUUAAAAAGUUAAAAAAAAACAUAUAUUGGUGAGGAUGUGGAGAAAAGGAAACACUUAUAUACUGUUAAUGGGAAUGUAAAUUAUUAAAACCUCAAUAGAAAUCAGUGUGGAGAUUUCUUAAAGAACUAAAAAUAGAACUACAAUUUGAUCCAACAAUCUCAUUACUGGGUAUGUAUCUGAAAGAAAAUAAAUUAUUAUACCAAAAUGAUAACUGCACUUAUAUGUUUAUUGCCACACUAUUCACAGUAGCAAAGAUAUGGAAUCAACCUAAAUGUUCAUCAAUGAAUGAGUGGAUAAAGAAAAAUAUAUAUAUAUAUAUAUCUCCCAUGGAAUACAACUUACUUAAAAAAAAUUAAAUCAUGUCUUGCAGUAGUGUGGAUGGAACUAGAGACCAUUGUCUUAAGUGAAAUUACUCAGAAACAGAAAGUCAAAUACCACAUGUUGUCACUUAUAAAUGGGAGCUAAGUGAUGCCUACACAGGAAUAUAGAAAGUGGAAUAAUAGAUAUUGGAGGCUCAGGAGGGUGGAAGUGUUGAAGGAGGGUGAGGGAUGAAAAAUUACUUAAUGGAUGCAAUGUAUACUAUUGGGUUGAUGGCUUCACUAAGAGCUCAGACUUCACCACUAUGCAAUAUAUUCAUGUAACAAAACUGCACUUGUAUUCCUUAAAUCUAUAAUUUAAAAAAUGGAGGUCUAUGAACUGGCCACAAAUAAUUCAAAAUAAUCAUGUUAAAGAUGCUCAGCAAGCUACAAGAAAACAAAGAUAGAAAAUGAAACAAAAAUCAGAAAAAAUAAUAAAUAAAUAAUAUCAGAUGCUCAACAAAGAGAUAGAAAUUAUAAAAGGAACCAAACACAUAUCCUGGAGCUGAAGAAUACAGUGUCUGAACUGAAAAAUUCAAUAGAGAGCUUCAACAGCAAGCUCAAUCAAUCAGAAGAAAGAAUCAGCGAAUUCAAAAACAGGUUAUUUGAAAUUAUCCAAUCAAAGAAACAAUAUAAAAAUACAAUUAAAAUUAGUAGGCUGGUUUGAGUGCAGUGAUGCUUACAACUAAUUGAUCACAUCCAAUUACAGAUUUCUUUGCUCUUUCUGUACUCCCAGUGCUUCACUUGACUAGCCUUUAAAGAAAAAAAAAGAGUAAAGAAAGACUAUGGGAUAUAUGGGACAUCAUCAGAAGAAUAAAUAUACACAUUAUGGAACUCAAAGAAGGGUAAGAGAAAGAGAAAGGGCAGAUAGUUUAUUUAAAGAAAUAAUGGCUGAAAACUUCCCACUUAUGGUGAGGCAAAUGGACAUCCAAAUUCAUGAAGUCCAAAGGACUCCAAAUAUGUUGAAUGUAAAGAGGUCUAUGGAGAUAGAUAUUAUAAUUAAAUUAUCAAAAGUCAAAGAUAAGGAGAGAAUUUUGAAAACAGCAAAAGAAACAUGAGUCAUCACAUAUAAGAGAAUGUCCACACAAUUGAGUGGAUUUCUCAGCAAAUAAGAAAAUGUCCAUACAAUUGAGUGGAUUUCUCAGCAAAUAAGAAAAUGUCCAUACAAUUGAGUGGAUUUCUCAGCAAAAACCUUUCAGGCCAGGAAACAGUGUGAUGCUAUAUUAAAAGUGCUGAAAGAAAUUUAAAAAUGAAGGAGAGGCUGGGUGCAGUGGCUAACAUCUGUAAUCCUAGCACUUUAGGAGGCAGAGGUGGGCAGGUCACCUGAGUUCAGGAGUUCGAGACCAGCCUGGCCAACAUGGCAAAACCCCAUCUCUACUAAAAAUACAAAAAUUAGCUGGGCACAGUGGCACAUGCCUGUAAUCCCAGCUACUCAGAAGGCUGAGGCAGGAGAAUCGCUUAAACUCAGGAGGUGGAGGUUGCAGUGAGCCGAGAUUGCACCACUGCACUCCAGCCUGGGUGACAGACACCAUCUCAAAAAAAAAAAAAAAAAAAGGAGAGGAAACACUUUCUGAGAAAAACAGAAAUAGAAACUGAGGGGGUUUGUCAGCAAUAGCACUUCCUUACAAGAAGUGAUAAAGGGGCUGGGUGCGGUGGCUCAUGCUUGUAAUCCCAGCACUAUGGGAGGCCAAGGUGGGUGGAUCACUUGAGGUCAGGAGUUCGAGACCAGCCUGGCCAACAUGGCAAAAACCCAUCUCUACUAAAAGUACAAAAAUUAGCCAAGCCUGCCAAGAUCGUGCUACCGCACUCCAGCCUGGGUGACCGAGUGAGAUUCCAUCUCAAAAAAAAAAAAAAAAAAAAAAGCUAAACAGAUACUUGUUGAAAGCAUAUGAAAAUAUAAGUCUCACUAGUAAAGCUAAAUAUACAAAUACAUAAUCAUUUCACUGUAGCAGUAGUGCAUAAAACACAUUAAAUCCUAGAAUAUAACCAUAAAAGUUUGUUAAUGGAUACACAAUAUAAAAAUAAUUAAAUUUUGGCUUCAAUAACAUAACAUUUGGGUACAGGAGAGAAUAAAAAGUAUAGCGUUUUCACAUGCAAUUAAAGUUUAGUUAUUAUCAGCAUAAAAUAGAUUUUUACAACUAAAUGAAAUUUUGUGUAGUCUCAUGAUAACUACAAAGAAAAAAACCGAUAGUAGAUACAAAAAAAAAUACAAAACAAUUCAAAGAAUAUCACUACAAAAAUUCACUAAUCAUAAAGUAAGAUUUCAAGAGAGGAAGAUUAGACGAAAAUGAUUACAAAACACACAGAAAACAAUUAACAAAGUGGCAAUAAUAAGUCCCUAUCUAUCGAUAGCUACUUUAAAUGUAAAUGCAUUAAAUGCACAAAUCCAAAGAUAUAGAAUGGCUUAAUGUGAAAAAACAAACCCAAAACCUGUCUAUGUGCUGUUGACAAAAGACUCCUUUAGAUUUAAGAACACAUAUAGGCUGAAAGUAAGAGGACAGAAGAAGACAUUCCAUGCAAACAGUAACCAAAAGAGAGCAGGAGUUGUUAUACUUACAUUAGAUAAAAUAGGUUAUAAGUUGAAAACUGUCAGAAAAGAUAAAAAGGUUAUUACAUAGUGAUAAAGAAUUGAUUCAAUAGGAAUAUAUAACAAUUACAAAUAUAUAUGCAUCCAAUAUCAGAGUAACAAUAUGAUAAAGAAUUGAUUCAAAAGGAAUAUAUAACAAUUACAAACAUAUGUGCAUCCAAUAUCAGAGUAACAAUUUGAGUAUAUAUGUGUGUGUGCAUGCACAUGUGUUUAUAUCAAACAUUUAUAGAUCUGAAAAGAAGGAAUACAUAGAGGACUUCAAUAUCCCAGUUUAAAUAAUAGAAAAAACAACCAGACAUAAAAUUAAUAAGGAAAUGGCAGACUGCAACUUUAUAGGUCAAAUGGACCUAACAGACAUGUACAGAACAUUCCUUCCACCUGCUAUGGACUGAAUGUUUGUGUCCCCCCAAAAUUCAUUAUCGAAACCUAAUUCCCAUGUGAAGAUAUUUGGAGGUGGAGCCUUUGUGAGGUGAUUAGGUGAUGAGGUUGGAGCCAGCAAGAAUGGCAUUAGUGCCCUUAUAAAAUACAUUCUCACCCCUUCUGCCAUGUAAGGACACAGUGAAAGGACAGGUAUAUGUGAACAAGGAAGCAGGCUCUCACCAGACACUGAAUCAGCUAGUGCCUUGAUUUUGGAUGUCCCAGCCUGCAGAACUGUUAGAAACAAAUUUCGGUUGUCUGCAAACCAUCUAGUCUAUGGUAUUUUGUUAUAGCCACCUGACUGGACUAAGACACUACCAAUCAGCAAUAAGAUACACAUUCUUCUCAAGUGCAUCCUAUACACUCUCCAGGGAAGAUUACAUUCUUGGUCACAAAACAAGUCUCAACAAAUUUAAAAAUAUUAAGAUCAUUCCAAAUACCUUUUCUGACCCCAGGGGAAUCUAACUAGCAAUCAAUAACAAAAGAGAAAUGGAAAAAUUCACAAAUAUGUGAAAAUUAUACAGCACAUUCUUGAACAACCAUUAAAUCAAAGAAAAAACCCAAAGGAAAGUUAGAAAUUAUCUUGAGAGAAAAGAAAACAAAAAUACAACUCAACAAAACUUAUUAGAUGCAAAGAAGUGCCAAGAGAGAAGUUUAUAGUGGUAAACACCAAUAUUAAACAAGGAAAAAAAAUGUUAAUAACCUAACUUUAUACCUAAAAGGACUAGAAAAUAACAAACAAAGCCCAAAAUUAACAGGAGGAAGAAAAUAACAAAGAUGAGAGCAGAAAUAAAUAGAAGACGAAAAACAAUAGAAAAAAAUUAAGGAAACAAAGAGAUGAUUUAUUGAAAAGAUAAAGUCCACAAACACCUGGAACUAUGAAGAAAGAGAGGAUUCAAAUAAAUAAAAUCAGAAAUCAAAAAGAGUACAUUGUAAACAAUGCUACAGAAAUUUUUUUUCUUUUUAUUAUUAUUAUUAUUUUAAUUAUACUUUAAGUUUUAGGGUACAUGUGC